AGGUGCGAUCAUACCAGCGUUAAUGCAACGGAUCCCAUCAGAACUCCGCAGUUAAGCACGCUUGGGUCAGAGUAGUACUGGGAUGGGUGACCUCCCAGGAAGUCCUGGUGUUGCACCCU
Molecule: non-coding RNA, 119 nt
Organism: Picea glauca (white spruce)
Lineage: Eukaryota; Viridiplantae; Streptophyta; Pinopsida; Pinales; Pinaceae
Source: Rfam